This 425-nucleotide ribosomal RNA is filed under the name uncultured bacterium. RNAcentral's name for it is "bacterial SSU rRNA". It matches the Rfam family "Bacterial small subunit ribosomal RNA", at positions 356 to 773 of the family's 1533-position model. The record is from RNAcentral.
GGGGAAUAUUGGACAAUGGGCGCAAGCCUGAUCCAGCCAUACCGCGUGGGUGAAGAAGGCCUUCGGGUUGUAAAGCCCUUUUGUUGGGAAAGAAAAGCAGUCGAUUAAUACUCGGUUGUUCUGACGGUACCCAAAGAAUAAGCACCGGCUAACUUCGUGCCAGCAGCCGCGGUAAUACGAAGGGUGCAAGCGUUACUCGGAAUUACUGGGCGUAAAGCGUGCGUAGGUGGUUGUUUAAGUCUGUUGUGAAAGCCCUGGGCUCAACCUGGGAAUUGCAGUGGAUACUGGGCGACUAGAGUGUGGUAGAGGGUAGUGGAAUUCCCGGUGUAGCAGUGAAAUGCGUAGAGAUCGGGAGGAACAUCCAUGGCGAAGGCAGCUACCUGGACCAACACUGACACUGAGGCACGAAAGCGUGGGGAGCAAAC